CUAUGAAGACAGGCUGUGAGAGUUAGGGUUGUUCAGGCUGGAGAAGAGAAGGCUCCAGGGAGACCUUAUACCAGCCUUCUAGUACCCAAAGGAGGCCUACAGAAAAGCAGGAGAGGGACUCUUCAUCAAGGAGUGAAGUGAUAGGACUAAGGGUA
Oxyura jamaicensis (ruddy duck) is the source of this 155-nucleotide long non-coding RNA. RefSeq lists it as uncharacterized. NCBI's taxonomy places the organism in Eukaryota, Metazoa, Chordata, Aves, Anseriformes, Anatidae. The transcript is spliced from 3 exons. The record is from RefSeq and is a predicted model, not a curated record.